This is a long non-coding RNA of Vespa velutina, 1137 nucleotides long. RefSeq lists it as uncharacterized. The record is from RefSeq and is a predicted model, not a curated record. The transcript is spliced from 2 exons. NCBI's taxonomy places the organism in Eukaryota, Metazoa, Arthropoda, Insecta, Hymenoptera, Vespidae.
AUAUAUGUUUAACAGAGCAUAUAUGAUUAAUAGACUCGAAUCAAUUAAUAAUAAACAAUAUAAGAAUGAUCUUUUUUUACCGGCCAGCCAAUGAGGACUCUCGGGAACCAUGAGGAGUGCGAUAAAACACACGAGUGGAUAUGUCAAAUUAAUCACUGCCACCGUUCUCCAAUUGGUUAAGCUACCGCCGAGCAUCUGUGUGAAAACUCCUAAAAUGACGGACAUGGUGGAUGUAGCUGAUAACAUUCCUCGUAAACGAGGUUGGGUAACUUCGGCAACAUAUGUCAUCACUGGUGCUUCGAUCAAUCCACCGGUCAGUCCUGUCAUUGCUAGAGCUAUGAACAGCAUGGUAGUAUUGUAAGAGUAAUGGAAAGUCAGCCAGGCCAUUAUGAACGGGAUAUUUGCGAUCAUCAUCGUUCGUUUUCUACCUAAAUACUGGGAUAUUGGGCCACUUACGAAACAGCCUAAUGGUACAAGAAACAAAUUUAAACUGCCUGUAAUGAGAAAGAUAAAAGAACGUUAAAAAAGAAGAGAAAGAAUACAAACGCAUGGUAUAUGAAAUUGUGAUUAAAAGUGUUUGGAUAUAUGUAAUAGGAAAUAAUGAAAUAUGCAGUACAAGUAAAAAACUUACUGAUCCACGUAAUUUCUUCAGUAGUUGUGGUAAUUUCAGAAUUCUUGCUUUGUAAUUCUGGUAUCAGAAUUGUCGAGAAGCCCAAAGUCGAACCAAACGUGAUCAGGACUAGAUUUUUUGCGCCUACAGCACAGCAUUGCGGCAAGGCUUCUCGAUAUUUUGAAAUAGGCGUCAGAUUAUCGCCAACAUCGCCGUUUAAUUCCAUCGGUGUUAUUUUUUCGCCAUUGCUGAAAAUUUAUUCAAGCAAAAUUUAUCUAAAUAUUAUUUUCUUUUUAUAUAUUAAAAUAUUUAAUUAUUACUGGGAACAUUACAUAUAUAUUAACUAUAAAAUACUUUGGUCAAACGUGUCAAUUUUGUCUUUCACUGUAUAUCACUCUUAUGAUCGAAUAAACGAGAGUAAAUGGUCAUUAGACUUAUAACAUCAACUGAUUCAACUUACUUCUAGAAUGACUUGUGAACACUAUUCUUAAGAAUAAACGGAAGUAAUAAAGACAUUUCAAAAUCUC